UACCAGCACCCCGAGUGGUCGGGACGUUUAUUGGGCCUAAAGCAUCCGUAGCCGGUUCUACAAGUCUUCCGUUAAAUCCAGCUGCUUAACAGAUGGGCUGCGGAGGAUACUAUAAGACUAGGAGGCAGGAGAGGCAAGCGGUACUCAGUGGGUAGGGGUAAAAUCCGUUGAUCCAUUGAAGACCACCAGUGGCGAAGGCGGCUUGCCAGAAUGCGCUCGACGGUGAGGGAUGAAAGCUGGGGGAGCAAACCGG
RNAcentral lists this ribosomal RNA (253 nucleotides) under uncultured bacterium. RNAcentral's name for it is "partial 16S ribosomal RNA". It matches the Rfam family "Archaeal small subunit ribosomal RNA", at positions 474 to 727 of the family's 1478-position model. The record is from RNAcentral.